Non-coding RNA from Myotis brandtii (Brandt's bat), 181 nucleotides. The record is from Rfam. Lineage: Eukaryota; Metazoa; Chordata; Mammalia; Chiroptera; Vespertilionidae.
AUCACUUCUCGGCCUUUUGGCUAAGAUCAAGUGUAGUAUCGGUUUAAUAUCUGAUACAUCCUCUAUCCAAGGAAAGUAUAUUAAAUGGAUUUUUGGAGCAGGGAGAUGGAAUAGGAGCUUGCUCCGUCCACUCCAUGCAUCGACCCGGUAUUGCAGUACCUCCGGGAAUGGUGCACCAAAA